UGGGGAAUAUUGCACAAUGGGCGCAAGCCUGAUGCAGCCAUGCCGCGUGUAUGAAGAAGGCCUUCGGGUUGUAAAGUACUUUCAGUCGGGAGGAAGGUGGUAAGGUUAAUAACCUUAUCAAUUGACGUUACCGACAGAAGAAGCACCGGCUAACUCCGUGCCAGCAGCCGCGGUAAUACGGAGGGUGCAAGCGUUAAUCGGAAUUACUGGGCGUAAAGCGCACGCAGGCGGUUGAUUGAGUCAGAUGUGAAAUCCCCGGGCUUAACCCGGGAAUUGCAUCUGAUACUGGUCAGCUUGAGUCUUGUAGAGGGGGGUAGAAUUCCAUGUGUAGCGGUGAAAUGCGUAGGGAUGUGGAGGGAUACCGGUGGCGAAGGCGGCCCCCUGGACAAAGACUGACGCUCAGGUGCGAAAGCGUGGGGAGCAAACAGG
This 429-nucleotide ribosomal RNA is filed under the name Chloroflexota bacterium. Its description in RNAcentral is "Chloroflexi bacterium partial 16S ribosomal RNA". It matches the Rfam family "Bacterial small subunit ribosomal RNA", at positions 355 to 776 of the family's 1533-position model. Lineage: Bacteria; Bacillati; Chloroflexota. The record is from RNAcentral.